AUUGAACGCUGGCGGCAGGCCUAACACAUGCAAGUCGAGCGAGCGGCGGACGGGUGAGUAAUGUCUGGGAAACUGCCCGAUGGAGGGGGAUAACUACUGGAAACGGUAGCUAAUAACGCAUACUAUCAGAUGUGCCCAGAUGGGAUUAGCUGGUAGGUGGGGUAACGGCUCACCUUGGCGACGAUCCCUAGCUGGUCUGAGAGGAUGACCAGCCACACUGGAACUGAGACACGGUCCAGACUCCUACGAGAGGCAGCAGUGGGGAAUGUUGCACAAUGGGCGCAAGCCGGAUGCAGCCAUGCCGCGUGUGUGAAGUAGGCCUUCGGGUUGUAAAGCACUUUCAGCGGGGAGGCGUUACCCGCAGAAGAAGCACCGGCUAACUCCGUGCCAGCAGCCGCGGUAAUUC
This 406-nucleotide ribosomal RNA is filed under the name uncultured bacterium. Its description in RNAcentral is "partial 16S ribosomal RNA". It matches the Rfam family "Bacterial small subunit ribosomal RNA", at positions 30 to 526 of the family's 1533-position model. The record is from RNAcentral.